RNAcentral lists this ribosomal RNA (438 nucleotides) under uncultured bacterium. Its description in RNAcentral is "bacterial SSU rRNA". It matches the Rfam family "Bacterial small subunit ribosomal RNA", at positions 958 to 1398 of the family's 1533-position model. The record is from RNAcentral.
AACGCGAAGAACCUUACCUGGGCUAGACAACGGCGGACCGCCUGAGAAAUCAGGCUUUCCCUUCGGGGACUGCCGGUUCAGGUGUUGCAUGGCUGUCGUCAGCUCGUGUCGUGAGAUGUUGGGUUAAGUCCCGCAACGAGCGCAACCCUCGGCCUUAGUUGCCAUCAUUUAGUUGGGCACUCUAAGGCGACUGCCGGUGAUAAGCCGGAGGAAGGUGGGGAUGACGUCAAGUCCUCAUGGCCCUUACGGGCUGGGCUACACACGUGCUACAAUGGCGGUGACAGAGGGAUGCAAAGGGGCGACCCUUCGCAAAUCUCAAAAAGCCGUCUCAGUUCGGAUUGGGGUCUGCAACUCGACCCCAUGAAGUUGGAAUCGCUAGUAAUCGCAGAUCAGCACGCUGCGGUGAAUACGUUCCCGGGCCUUGUACACACCGCUGUA